AGAUAGAAGUUACUUCGGUACAUCGGUGACAGGUGGUGCAUGGUUGUCGUCAGCUCGUGUCGUGAGAUGUUGGGUUAAGUCCCGCAACGAGCGCAACCCUUGUCACUAGUUGCCAUCAUUUAGUUGGGCACUCUAGUGAGACUGCCGGUGACAAACCGGAGGAAGGUGGGGAUGACGUCAAGUCCUCAUGGCCCUUAUGGGUAGGGCUUCACACGUCAUACAAUGGUCGGUACAGAGGGUUGCCAAGCCGCGAGGUGGAGCCAAUCCCUUAAAGCCGAUCGUAGUCCGGAUCGUAGUCUGCAACUCGACUACGUGAAGUCGGAAUCGCUAGUAAUCGCAGAUCAGCAUGCUGCGGUGAAUACGUUCCCGGGUCUU
This 375-nucleotide ribosomal RNA is filed under the name uncultured Thauera sp. Its description in RNAcentral is "bacterial SSU rRNA". It matches the Rfam family "Bacterial small subunit ribosomal RNA", at positions 1006 to 1382 of the family's 1533-position model. The record is from RNAcentral. Lineage: Bacteria; Pseudomonadati; Pseudomonadota; Betaproteobacteria; Rhodocyclales; Zoogloeaceae.